CGAGGGAAAUUCAUUCUCAAGACUGGUAUUAUUCGCAAAAACCCCUCAAGAACAUGCUAAAUCUGUUUAAUUAUACCGAAUGUUAAUGUUUAAAAACGCAUUGAUGAUCGUGACGUUACAAGCGUCCAGUCGGAUAGAGUAUUUUUUGGCAAAUACCACGGCAGAGAGGGUAAAACAAGUCAUAUCCUUUUUGCAAAUACCCCGGCGGCGUUAAAAAAUGAACAAUUUUCUUUUGAUAACAGUAAAUUGGUGAAAAAUACACUGGCUAUCAACCAAUCAAAACC
This 284-nucleotide long non-coding RNA is filed under the name Mytilus galloprovincialis (Mediterranean mussel). The record is from RNAcentral. Lineage: Eukaryota; Metazoa; Mollusca; Bivalvia; Mytilida; Mytilidae.